RNAcentral lists this ribosomal RNA (108 nucleotides) under Amphilophus citrinellus (Midas cichlid). The record is from RNAcentral. Lineage: Eukaryota; Metazoa; Chordata; Actinopteri; Cichliformes; Cichlidae.
GCUUUAUACCACCCUGAGCAUGCCCAAGCUCAUCUGAUCUCAAAACCUAAGCAGGGUCAGGCCUGCUUAAUACUUGGAUGGGGGAACCACCUUGGCAUACCAGGUGCU